Long non-coding RNA from Herpailurus yagouaroundi (jaguarundi), 838 nucleotides. RefSeq lists it as uncharacterized. Lineage: Eukaryota; Metazoa; Chordata; Mammalia; Carnivora; Felidae. The transcript is spliced from 3 exons. The record is from RefSeq and is a predicted model, not a curated record.
AUGGAGCCUUCGUGAGGUCUCCGGGUGUGGAGCCUCCGCCUCCCGGCAUCUCACGUGCUCGCUGACCAGGAAGCCCUCUGAAUCUCGUUCGAGAAUUGUUGAGGCCACUUCCUGAGUGAGAGAGCAUAUUUGCAGAUCGUGUAUCUGAUAAGGGAUUAAUAUCCGAAAGAUGCAAAGAACUCAUGCCAUUCGAGAGCAAAAAACCCAAACAAUCCUAUUAAAAGGUGGGCAGAGGAUGUGCCCGCAGAGCACACAGGUGAAUGUGGAUGCAAAAAUUCUCAGCGAGAUACUAGCCAACCGGAUCCAACGAGACAUUAAAAGGAUUAUUCACCACGAUCGAGUGGGAUUUAUAUCUGGGAUGCAAGGCUGGUUCAAUAUCCACAAAUCAAUCAGUGUGAUACAUCACAUUAAUAGAACGGCUAUCGUCAGAAGGGCAACAGGUAGCGAGUGAUGGCCAGGAUGCGGAGAAAAGGGAACCCGGGCACUGCUCUGGGGCUGUAAGUUGGUGCCGCCACUGUGGAAGACGAUAUGAAGGUUCCUCAAAAAACUAAAAGUAGAAACACCAUAUGAUCCAACGUUUCCACUUCUGGGCAUUUAUCCAAAGAACGAAAACGCAGUUGUGAAAAGAUCCCUGCACUCCCAUGUUUAUGACAGCCAGGGCAUGGAAACCACCCAAGUGUCCACGGACAGGUGAUUGGGGAAAGAUGUGAUAUAGAUACACGACGGAAUACCAUUUACCCGUAUAAAAGAAUGAAUUCUUGCCGUUUGUGACAGCAUGGGUGGACCUCGAGGGCAUUGUGCUAAGUCACGUAAGUCAGACGCAGACAAAUACUGUACG